GAUAAACGCUGGCGGCGUGCCUAAUACAUGCAAGUCGAGCGAACGGACGAGAAGCUUGCUUCUCUGAUGUUAGCGGCGGACGGGUGAGUAACACGUGGAUAACCUACCUAUAAGACUGGGAUAACUUCGGGAAACCGGAGCUAAUACCGGAUAAUAUUUUGAACCGCAUGGUUCAAAAGUGAAAGACGGUCUUGCUGUCACUUAUAGAUGGAUCCGCGCUGCAUUAGCUAGUUGGUAAGGUAACGGCUUACCAAGGCAACGAUGCAUAGCCGACCUGAGAGGGUGAUCGGCCACACUGGAACUGAGACACGGUCCAGACUCCUACGGGAGGCAGCAGUAGGGAAUCUUCCGCAAUGGGCGAAAGCCUGACGGAGCAACGCCGCGUGAGUGAUGAAGGUCUUCGGAUCGUAAAACUCUGUUAUUAGGGAAGAACAUAUGUGUAAGUAACUGUGCACAUCUUGACGGUACCUAAUCAGAAAGCCACGGCUAACUACGUGCCAGCAGCCGCGGUAAUACGUAGGUGGCAAGCGUUAUCCGGAAUUAUUGGGCGUAAAGCGCGCGUAGGCGGUUUUUUAAGUCUGAUGUGAAAGCCCACGGCUCAACCGUGGAGGGUCAUUGGAAACUGGAAAACUUGAGUGCAGAAGAGGAAAGUGGAAUUCCAUGUGUAGCGGUGAAAUGCGCAGAGAUAUGGAGGAACACCAGUGGCGAAGGCGACUUUCUGGUCUGUAACUGACGCUGAUGUGCGAAAGCGUGGGGAUCAAACAGGAUUAGAUACCCUGGUAGUCCACGCCGUAAACGAUGAGUGCUAAGUGUUAGGGGGUUUCCGCCCCUUAGUGCUGCAGCUAACGCAUUAAGCACUCCGCCUGGGGAGUACGACCGCAAGGUUGAAACUCAAAGGAAUUGACGGGGACCCGCACAAGCGGUGGAGCAUGUGGCUUAAUUCGAAGCAACGCGAAGAACCUUACCAAAUCUUGACAUCCUUUGACAACUCUAGAGAUAGAGCCUUCCCCUUCGGGGGACAAAGUGACAGGUGGUGCAUGGUUGUCGUCAGCUCGUGUCGUGAGAUGUUGGGUUAAGUCCCGCAACGAGCGCAACCCUUAAGCUUAGUUGCCAUCAUUAAGUUGGGCACUCUAAGUUGACUGCCGGUGACAAACCGGAGGAAGGUGGGGAUGACGUCAAAUCAUCAUGCCCCUUAUGAUUUGGGCUACACACGUGCUACAAUGGACAAUACAAAGGGCAGCGAAACCGCGAGGUCAAGCAAAUCCCAUAAAGUUGUUCUCAGUUCGGAUUGUAGUCUGCAACUCGACUACAUGAAGCUGGAAUCGCUAGUAAUCGUAGAUCAGCAUGCUACGGUGAAUACGUUCCCGGGUCU
Molecule: ribosomal RNA, 1372 nt
Filed under: uncultured bacterium
Lineage: Bacteria
Description: bacterial SSU rRNA
Rfam family: Bacterial small subunit ribosomal RNA
Source: RNAcentral